Molecule: ribosomal RNA, 274 nt
Filed under: uncultured bacterium
Lineage: Bacteria
Description: partial 16S ribosomal RNA
Rfam family: Bacterial small subunit ribosomal RNA
Source: RNAcentral
AGACGAGGGGUCCAAGCGUUGUUCGGAAUUAUUGGGCCUAAAGCAUCCGUAGCCGGCUCUGUAAGUUUUCGGUUAAAUCUGUACGCUUAACGUACAGGCUGCCGGAAAUACUGCAGAGCUAGGGAGCGGGAGAGGUAGACGGUACUCGGGAGGAAGUGGUAAAAUGCUUUGAUCUCUCGAUGACCACCUGUGGCGAAGGCGGUCUACCAGAACACGUCCGACGGUGAGGGAUGAAAGCUGGGGGAGCAAACCGGAUUAGAUACCCGGGUAGUCC